Numida meleagris (helmeted guineafowl) is the source of this 3132-nucleotide long non-coding RNA. RefSeq lists it as uncharacterized. The transcript has 3 exons. The record is from RefSeq and is a predicted model, not a curated record. NCBI's taxonomy places the organism in Eukaryota, Metazoa, Chordata, Aves, Galliformes, Numididae.
CGUCGCUGGGUGACUCACAGGGGCUCCAAAAUGCAGCUGAGCUCGUGUCCCUGGGCAGGCAGGCUGCAGGGGAUCUGAGUGGGCAGGGAGGCAGUGUCCCAGCAGCUGGCUGUGCUUGUAGGGUGGCGGGCAGGCUGGGGGCACCCCACGCUCCAGUGACAGCUGCUGGUCUACAGGCUGCCACGGCAGAGGUGACGGCACAUUCAGUUCUCUGAAGGUACUUUGCUUAUGUAUGUCGUCUUCUUUUCCACCCUCCUUCCAGCACACACACGUUUCUCUCUUCACCUGAUUUAAAAAUUCAGCUACGGAGAUUUCCCUGCUUGAGAUACAGCACCUAAGGAGGAGCUGGCUGUCAGCUGAAGCCCUUCUCUGACUGCAUGGAAAUCCUGAUUUAAAUCCGCACUGAAAGAGGCAGACAGCUUCCACAAGAGCUAUUCCCUAUGCUGCUGGGUGCAGCGAUCCUGGGAUCCAUCUCUUUUGCUAUCAGCUUUGGCCAUGAAGUUUUUAAGAUUCCAAGGGAGUGCCUCCUUGUUGAAGAAGCACUCCCUCCAGUCUUUGCUGCUUGCAGAUUUCUCCGUGCUGUGAUGAAUUGCUUUGCUCAGCCCAGGAAAAUGAACAUAUUCAUCAGCAUUUCACGUGCCAAUAUGGGUAACAGUGGUAGUCUGAGCUCCCUAGGGACGGACCUUUGCCUUGCUGGAUCCUUCCUUCCUAUUCUGCAUUAAACUCAACGUGUCCUAACAUCAGACCCAAAGGUUUUUUGCAAGAUUACCUUGGAGGUUACAGAACCGACUGAAGACUUGAAGAACAGAUGGAAGCUUUGCAGACUUUUGAAUUGCCAAAGAAGGGUGCUUAAUGAAAAAGUAUUGCCAAAAAAAGGUUGUUUAAUGAGAAAACCAGCAACAUUUUCUGCUGUACUUACAUAAAGAGUGUGUUUUUAUGGUCCACAAUGUAAGAAAUCUGACCCUUUUUUCUUUUAUUACUACAUAGGACACAAAGCCUUGAUGCUGACUGAUGUUGCACGUAGUUUUGCUGCAGGCCAUUGGCCAGCCCCAGCCCCAGCCGUGCUGUCAGGCCCUGCCCUGCUGCCGACCUUUCCUGCCACUUCUCACUUUCCAUUUGUUUGCUUUCUUUAUCAGCCCUGACCCUUGUCAAUACACCCCUAGGAAGGUCGGCAGCAUGGAACUGGAUGCGCGGGAGUUAGGGAGGAGGCUGCAGCCCUCUGCGAAGUGUUAUUUUCUGACAGAAAUUGGCUGCAGUUAUUUACCCCUUGCCAAAGAGUUUAAAAAUGGCACGCUUGCUGAUCCAGGUGAUUUUACGAGGAGGUGGUGCCUGCCAUUUCCCAUCAUAGCUGCUAAUUGCUAAUCACAGAGCUGAUAUAAUUAUACUGCAGACAGCUGAAUUAAUUCCUGAAAAACCCUCAUACCAUACAGACACCAGUUACUCUGAGAGCCUGAAAAAUCUCGAAGAGGUGAAUUUUUCCACUCCAGGUUGGAUGGGGCCUUGGGCAGCCUGAUCUAGUGGGUGGCAACACAGCCCACGGCAGUAGAGUUGGAACCAGAUGGUCUUUAGGGACCCUUCCAACCUAAGCCAAUCCAUGAUUCUAUGAUUACUCUUACUACAGUUUACGUUAGAGGCUUGUCUUUUAGGAAGAUAAUCUUGGGGAUUGGGGUGAGGACAGAGUCAUACAUAAAUAUAGCACAUGGCAAAUGCUCCACUUGGCGUUCAUAAAGCUUGCCUUUUAGGAAUGGAAGGGAUGACAACUGCUGGUCACAGUGAGCAGGGCAAACGUGUUCUCCAUGCAAUUUGGUGUUUUUUUCUGAUUUUGUAGUACUUGGAAGUAGCAAUUUUUUAAACUGGCCUGUUCACACAUCUAAGUGAAACCUUAAAAAUCCCGUUGGCUAAGAAGGCAAGGAAUAUGAGGCAUAAAUGAUCCUCCUUCAUUAAAAGCUUUUCUCCCUACUUUGUCCUUCAUCAUACAGACUCAUGUUGCCCUAGAAGAUGCAGCAAUGUCAGAACAUGAUGUAAAAUAAUUCCAGUGAUAAAGUGUUAAUCACAAUCUUGUACAAUCAAAGAAAACUGCUCAGGAACACAUUACGCUUACUUUUGUGGCAGCAAAUUAUUGCCAAACCCUCCUUCGGCCAAACUCUUCUCCAUAUACUGUAUGUAUAUGUAUAUGUAUAUGUAUAACAGUAAACAUUUUACUGGCUCUGAGCUGGAAGGGACCAUUAAAACUCUGGUUACCAGAAACUGUGACAUUUGUUGCACAGCAGCUGUACAUGUACUUGUUCCCCUUGCCAUGGCAGAUGGCAAGAGCUAGGAGUGAAGUGGGUUAACCCAACUGUCUGCUCACCUCAAGGUAACUCAGAUCACUGCAGCAUAUUUUCACUUGUAAUUAAGCUGCUUCAAACUGCCUUCAGAGCAGCAGUGAUUGAGGAUGCGCAUGGAUGGAUCGCCUGGCACAAUCAUUUUACCCCUCAGCAACCUGUGUAAUGGCUUUUGUUCAUGGUCUGUGUCUUUGAUCGCCUUCUUGAUUUCUUUAAUAUCACAAGGCAUUAUCAAGAUAUUUCAUCAUUUUGUGGAUUGCAAAGUCUCACUCGGCACCAUUUUUACUAAUGGAAUCUUUCAGUGGCACAGAGUUUUCCAGCAAAAAUAAGGGAUUGGGUCAGGCUUGUGGCACAUCACUAGAUGAAAGGUCAAUUGUGCUUCUUCAUAUGACAAUCUGACUUUAAGGAAAAAGAUUAUCCACCUACUUUCAUCAUGCCAAAGGUAAAAAUGUACUCUUGCACAUAUUGAGAACUAUUUUUGCAUUAAAAAUGACUAAAAUGUAUAGCUGGACCACUGCAGUAUUCUAGUCCCAUUGAAGCUAAUUGUAAAACCCAUCACACCUUCUAGAAGAGGAAGAAAAAAACCUAUUCAUACAAACAAUUCAAUUUUGAAAUAAAUCCAACUUAUGAGCUUAUGUUUCACUAUAAAUUGAUUCUGUUUAGUAGAAAUCAACAUGUCAAAUCAUCUGUGUUCCUUUCUGUACUGUCCAUUUCUCUUCAAGCAUUUAAAUACUGAGAGUCUUGCACACACAUUAUAGGGUUAAUGUCAUGCUCAGGCCAUCAGUAGUAAGAUGGCAAGAAAACAGAA